AUUUUGCUACAAUAAACAUAUGCAUACAAGUGUAUUUUUGAUAUAAUUAAUUCUUUUUCUUUGGGUAGAUAUGCAGUAGUGGGAUCGCUUCACUGAAUGGUAGAUCUACUACUUUUAGUUCUUUAAGAAAUCUCGGCUUUUUUCCAAGGAAGCUGGUGUUGCCGAGAUUGCCAAAAUGCUUUGGAGUUUUUAACUGAAUCUAAGAAAAGUCCAAAAUAGAUUUGAGACUGUAAAAACAGAAACUGCAGCAAGGGGGAUUCAGUGCCAAUGCAUCAACAAAAAAGACAGCCAAAGUUAGUGGAAGGAAAUCUUUCUGUUUUCGUGUUCCCCACGGAGCUCAUAUUUUAUGCAGAUGAUCAGUCAACACAUAAGCAAGUGUUGACACUGUACAAUCCCUAUGAGUUUGCCUUAAAGUUCAAAGUUUUGUGUACUACUCCAAAUAAGUAUGUUGUCGUUGAUGCUGCAGGUGCAGUAAAGCCUCAGUGUUGUGUGGAUAUUGUAAUUCGUCAUAGAGAUGUUCGAUCCUGUCACUAUGGUGUAAUAGACAAAUUCCGUCUUCAAGUUUCUGAGCAAAGCCAGAGGAAGGCUUUGGGAAGAAAAGAGGUUGUUGCUACUCUUCUCCCAUCAGCAAAAGAACAACAAAAGGAAGAAGAGGAAAAAAGAAUAAAGGAACAUUUAACUGAAAGUUUAUUUUUUGAGCAGUCAUUUCAACCAGAAAACAGAGCUGUCUCCUCAGGACCUAGUUUACUAACUGUCUUCCUGGGAGUGGUGUGCAUUGCAGCCCUGAUGCUGCCUACAAUGGGGGAUGUGGAAUCGCUGGUGCCUCUCUACCUCCACUUAAGUGUGAAUCAAAAAUUAGUGGCUGCUUAUAUCUUAGGUCUUAUCACAAUGGCCAUACUUAGAACAUGAGCAAGGAUUUCAGUUGACUUCUGAAGUAAAUCUAUCUUGAAAAUAUGAAUGUGGACUGCCUUUUAUCUCUAUUUCACUCCAUUAACAUGCUACAAACUAUUGAAUGAUUUCAAGUAAUUGCAGAUGUAUAAUAUAUAUUUUAAAUUAUAAUUUAAUUUGAAGGACUGCAGAACAUUAUUUUACAGACAGCAAGGAUGCUUCUGAGUGACACCUAGGAAAUUAUUUGAAGAAAUUCUUUUUAUACCUAUACCUGUUGUGCAAGAGACUUUAAAACAUUUGUUAUUUGCUCACCCUUUUUUUCCAGUUCACUUUGAUUGCUAGGGGUCAUGUACGCUUCAAAGUUACAGGACUAAAAGAACAAACUGACCGGCCUAAAACUAAAAUGACAUUUAUUCCCUAGCUACAAACGUCAGCGUUAUUAUGUUAAUCAUACCUUACCCUCUAUCAUUAUAAGCGGUUGCCAUGGUGUUUCUAAAAGUAAGUGUUUUACCAUUAAUGUGUAGAGGGGAACAAAGCAUAAAGUACUAAGGGAUCAUGCUUAUCCUAGGGUCUCACAGAAGACAGGACAUAUUAAUUAAUCUUGUGAAUUACAGAAUGGGUUGUGGUCCAGACACCAAGAAUCAUAGGGGUUUUUUAAAAAAACCUAAUGGAAGUAGGGUGACCUCUCUCUUUGGUCUAAGAGUUCUAAAGGAAGGUAGGCAUCUGUUUAAUUAGUUGGUUCACCCUGGCUUUACCUCUGGUUAAUGCUUUGUGUUAACAGGAAGGAAAAAUCACUUUAUCUUUUCUUCCAAGCCCCUUCCCCACCUGACUUGCCCAGACUGGGAUUACCAGAGACCAGGUGAUUUAUGUGGAGAUGAUUUUUCACCUUUAAACUCUAAGCCAAGUGUAGGAAACUCUUCAUAGCUGUGUCGAUUUUAUAUCAGUCACUGAGACUUUAAGUUUUUAUUUAUUAUUAAGACAACUUUGCCAAAAAAAAUCCCCUAAGCACAACUAUUUACAUUUCUUUAUAGCCUCUUCUGAUCUCUAACACAUAUAUGCAGUUUUAACUGUUACUGUCAUAGUAACUGAUCUUUUGUCUAAUGAUUUUUACCUGAAAGCACAAUGCAUUAAGAGUCUCUUGAAAAUCAUCUUUCAGAUCUUUUUACAGAAUGAAUUUAUGCACUGCUACAAACACAAAUGUAUGCCUGAGGUUGGUUUUUGCAGAAAAUAGUCUCCGCUUCUAAAAACUUCUAUGUCUAGUCUUCCAUAGGAAAUCCUCAGUGUUUAACCAUGUGAGGAGCCUAAGUCAUUAAACGGAUCAUGUCUGUACAUUGUGUAAUGAAUGAAAAGCACAUAAAUGUAAUCUACUUUGAACUUUGUAAAAAUUAUGUGUGGAGGCUAUUCUUAUUUAUCCAUCUCAAGUCCUGUGUGUGCACGUGUGCACAAGUGCACAUACGUGUAUGUAUGUGUGUAUAAUAACACAUUGUAAAGAACAGAAAUUACUUUAAAAAAUAAACAGAAAUGGAGCCCUGA
Cercocebus atys (sooty mangabey) is the source of this 2421-nucleotide RNA transcript. It is a transcript of the gene named motile sperm domain-containing protein 1 pseudogene, with no coding region annotated. Lineage: Eukaryota; Metazoa; Chordata; Mammalia; Primates; Cercopithecidae. The transcript has a single exon. The record is from RefSeq and is a predicted model, not a curated record.